This 275-nucleotide ribosomal RNA is filed under the name uncultured bacterium. RNAcentral describes it as "partial 16S ribosomal RNA". It matches the Rfam family "Bacterial small subunit ribosomal RNA", at positions 524 to 776 of the family's 1533-position model. The record is from RNAcentral.
UACGGAGGGUGCGAGCGUUUGUCCGGAAUCACUGGGCGUAAAGGGCGCGUAGGCGGCGCCCCAAGUCGGUGGUGAAAGCCCGGUGGCUCAACUGCGGGUCGGCCACCGAUACUGGGGGGGCUGGAGCACGGUAGAGGCAGGUGGAAUUCCGGGUGUAGCGGUGGAAUGCGUAGAGAUCCGGAAGAACACCGGUGGCGAAGGCGGCCUGCUGGGCCGGGUAGCCGCAAGGCUUUUAGCUGACGCUGAGGCGCGACAGCGGUGGGGGAGCAAACAGG